UAGUGUGGGCUUUCGACCCGGCCGUUUCUCCGGGACGCGCAAAGGCCCACGCGAUUCCCCACCGUCUCGCCACGCCACCUCUCCUCGCUCCGAACUCCGAUGUCUCCACUAGCCAGCGGCAGCGCCGCCCCCUCGCACGGCCGCACCACCCGCGCCUCCCCCACGCGCGCGCCCCUCCUCCACUGUUCCUGGCGCCGUCCCUCCGGAGGUCGGCUUGCCGGCGGCCACCCCGAGGCCUCCUCCUCCUACUCCGGUUCUUUCACGGAAUGAACCUCUGAAAAAGAUUUCGGCUGGUGGUGGUGGUUUAUUUGGUAGCACCGGCGAGAUUGCGGUAGUAUUUCAUAUUCAUUACCUGUGGCAAUGUCCUGGAGAGAUUGUGGCUUCACUCCUCUGCUGUGUAUGCCAUAACUGGGAUUAUCGCUUAAUUUAAUGUGAUCUGCUAUCAAGUUUAGUGCUGUUGUACUAAAGUACACUGAUUGUAUGUGUUCCGCUGUUGAUCAGGUUUAGUUGAAUAGUCUAUCCUUGGAGGUGCAAGAAAAGCAAAUAUUGUUAGGUUUACGUGGGUCUAUCCGGCCUACCCUCUAUUCCUUUUCCGUUGUUCCGCUCACAAUGCAUUAUGAGGCUGGAGGGUAGGGACCUAUUUAUAGACUCCACUUCCAGAUAUACACUAUAUCUGUUUCCGGUACACCGUUAGACUCCUGAACCAUGUCACCAACCACAAUUGGACAGUUCAGUUAAAUGAGUCUACAAUAUAAUAGUCCCAAGCACACAUGAUGUAAUCAUUGCACAUGACUCACACAUGUGUGCUUGGGACUAUUAUAUUGUAGGCUCAUUUAACUGAACUGUCAUCGUAUGUCUAUGAAUUCGGAGUCAAUUAGUUACCUAUUUUUGUUUUUCUUGCGUCAACAACCAUGAUGAUGCUACCAAUUCUUUUGAGGGGAAUUUAGCUGGAAACACUAGUUCAAAGUUUGAUAAAAUUGCAGUGCUGAAGCUGCGUUGGAGACUAUCAGCAUCCACUGCCGAUGCAAAUUCAUGCUCUAAUAAGAUACUUAAUUUUGACAAGUUUGCUCCAUUGUUCCAAGGCUGUGCAGAUAUUAGGUCUCUAAAGAAGAUCCAUUGUCAUGUUUUCACACAUGGAUUGUGCUGGGAUGUGAUUCUUGGCUCUAAGAUUGUGAGUUGUUAUGCUAAUUUAGGGGCCCUGUCUGAGUCAAGACUUGUUUUCCAGAAAAUUGUAAAUGAUGAGCUUUCCCUGUGGAAUUCAACCAUGGUUGAUUAUUUUAGAGCUGGUUAUCCAGAGGAAGUUAUUAUCUUGUACAAAAGGUUGAAAUUACACCAGAUUGGUUUGGAUGGGAAAACUAUUACUUUUGUUUUGAAAAGCUGCACUGAGCUUGAGAAUCUGUACUUGGGUAAAGGAAUGCAUGUGGAUUCACUUAAAUUUGGUCUGUCUGGGGAUAAAUUCAUCGGUUCCUCCCUCAUUGUGUUGUACUCCAAGCUUCAUAGGAUGGACGAUUCACAGGGAGUGUUUAAAGAGAUCAUUGACAAGGACGUUGUUGCUUACACUUCGAUGAUCACUGGUUAUUCAGAAAUUGUGGAUUCAGUUGCAUGGAAUGCAUUUGAUAUUGCCAUUGAUAUGCUGCAGGGCAACUUGGAAGUAAACCGUGUGACUAUGAUAAGCUUACUGCAAAUAGCUGGGAAUUUGGGAGCACUUAAAGAGGGCAAAUCACUCCAUUGCUAUUCCAUAAGGAGAGCACUUGUUGUCUCAGAUUAUAUUCUAGAGACCUGCAUUGUGAACUUGUAUACUCGAUGUGGAGCUUAUCAAUCAGCAGUUGCUACUUUACAGAAUUCAAAGGGAACUGCAGCUUCAUGGAAUGCUAUGCUUUCUGGUCUUACUAGAGCUGGACAGAGUUUUGAUGCAAUCCACUAUUUGUCUGUGAUGCUGCAUGAGCAUAAAAUAACUCCAGAUUCUGUCACCUUCGCAAACGUGAUUUCUGCUUGUGUUGAGGUAUGCUAUUUCGGCUAUGCUGCUAGUAUUCAUACCUACUUAAUAAGAAGAUAUAUACCUCUGGAUGUUGUUUUGGCGACUGCUCUUGUUAAGGUGUACUCCAAAUGCAAAAAAAUCACGAUAUCAAGACAUCUCUUUAAUCAACUGAUUGUUAAAGAUGCAGUCUCCUAUAAUGCAAUGAUGUACGGUUACCUACAUAACGGCAUGGCCAAUGAGGCCACCUCCUUACUCAAUUACAUGAUGGCAGAAGGUAUUGUUCCAGAUUUUGCAACUGUUCUUAGUCUGCUUGCUGCUUUUGCUGAUCAAAGAGAUUUAGUGAGAGGGAGGUGGAUCCAUGGAUUUGGGAUUAGGCAUGGGUUUUGUUCGGAUGGUGACGUUGAAAAUCAUAUUCUUUAUAUGUACUCAGUUUGCGGAAAACCUGCAGCAGCAAGGGUUAUAUUUGAUUUACUGGAACAGAAAAGCUUGGUUUCAUGGACAGCCAUGAUGAAGGGUUGCUUACCCUAUGGACAUGGAGAUGAGGUGGUUCAAUUAUUUCACUUGAUGCAGAAACAUGGGGAGAAACCUGAUUCCAUGUCUCUUGUAACUGCUGUUCAAGCUGUCUCUGAGCUUGGCCAUCUAAAUGGUCUAAAACAAAUCCAUUGUUUUGUUUACCGUUCCCUGUUAGAGAAAGAUAAGAUUACUGCAAAUUCAUUGAUAAGUGCAUAUGCCAAAUGUGGAAGACUGGAUUUGUCAGUAGGUUUGUUCUUUAGUUUGGAAUACAGAAACUUGGAUACUUGGAAUGCAAUUAUCAGUGCUUAUGCGAUGCAUGGAUUCUAUAUUAAUAUGCUUGAAAUGUUUAAGCAAAUGGAAGAAGAAAACAUUCAGCCUGAUGAGUUAACAUUCUCUACUGUGCUUACUGCUUGCAGCCAUGCUGGUCUUGUCAAGGAUGGUUGGCGUAUGUUCAAUUCCAUGACCUCAGUAUAUUCAGUUCUUCCACAGGAAGAGCAUUAUGGUUGCAUGGUUGAUUUAUUGGGUCGUGCUGGGCAUCUGGAAGAUGGAUACAAAUUUAUAAAGCUAUCUACCUUGAAGGAUAAAUCCACUAUAUUUUGUGUUUUGAUCUCUGCUUGCAGAACGCAUAGAAAUACACAACUGGCACUUGCUAUUAGCAAAGAGCUCCUUGAGCAUGGACCACAGAAACCAGGUAUUUAUGCUCUGAUUUCAGAAGUGUAUGCUCAGGAAGGGCAGUGGAAUGAAUUUACCAAUACAAGGGCCAGAGCUAAUUUAAGUGGGUUAAAGAAACAUCCUGGUUCUAGUUUCAUUGAAUUAAUGGAGCAAGGCAUGUGUUAGCGAAGAGCCUGCGGACGGCAUGCUACUCUUUAUAGAAUGGACUCCUCCCUUUGCAUGAAGAACAGAAGCGCACAACUGCCCAUCUCGCAUCUCUCUCCUCUCAAAUCCUUCUCAAAUUGGCCUGAAAUCAAAGGUUUUUCCGUGGGACGUGUGGACAUCGUCUAGGAAGAAUCCUUGCAUUGGAGGGAAAAGAACAAGUAAUCCAACAUGCUUCAUCCUAUAUAAGAUGCCUGACUGGAAUCGAGAACUGAUGCUUGCAUGCAAGCAGCAAAAUCAUUGAAGAUUGUUCAGGCCAUCACUUUGCUAUCAGGUUACUUAGCCGAGAGCAAUUGGGCAAUGGUUCAAGAAAUGGGAGAGAAGACACCACAAUGGUUCCUUCGCUAUGGCCAGUUCUCCACGUGCAGCAAGUAUAACUUUAAAAAGAACAGCAGCCAGGAAUACAUUUGCCAUAAUAUUGAGGAGAUUGGAGGUACUAAUGCUGCCACAUUGGAGAUAAACAACUCUUCAAGUUGGGGACUGGGAUUCUUGGGACUGGACAGAGAAGAACAUGUUUGAUCUUGAGGAGCUUGAUCGCAGUGACGUAGUCAGCAACCUCGAGUGUCAUCUGCUAUAUUCUCAUCGCCCAACUUAAGAUCCAAGGAGAAGGAUUGCUCUAAAUAAUGUACUUACAAUAUUAUCUAAAAGAAUAUAUCUAGUUAUUAGGGCCGUAUGCAUUGCUUGAUGCAUAUGCUGGAGAAUUUUUUACUCUACUAUCUUAAAAGGUAUGUAUGGAUACUUUUGAUUAGUUUAGGUUGGUUAUAUGCAUUUAGUGAGGAAUUUACUUUUUGUGAUAUGAUGGCUUUUGUUUUGUGACAAA
Non-coding RNA from Oryza sativa Japonica Group (Japanese rice), 4184 nucleotides. Lineage: Eukaryota; Viridiplantae; Streptophyta; Magnoliopsida; Poales; Poaceae. The record is from RefSeq and is a predicted model, not a curated record.